CAACCAUCAAGCCCCACGGCUUGUGUUGGGGCCCUGCGGCCGUCCGCAGCCCCCGGAAUGCAGUGGCGGGCUCGUUGUCACCCCGAGUGCAGUAAUACUCUUCUCUCUGGGCGUGGCAGCGGGUUCCGGCCGUGAAACAACCAAACUUAUCAA
This 153-nucleotide unclassified non-coding RNA is filed under the name uncultured Lasiosphaeriaceae. RNAcentral describes it as "partial internal transcribed spacer 2". The record is from RNAcentral. Lineage: Eukaryota; Fungi; Ascomycota; Sordariomycetes; Sordariales; Lasiosphaeriaceae.